AAACUCCUUUGUUCCUCUACGAAGAAACCAGCCGAUGACUUAAGCCAGUCAAAAAAGUGUUUAUGUAUUAUCACCUUUAGGAACGGGUCACGGUGUAAUAAUUACAAGAGAAAACGCACAAAUGAGUAGAAAGACGAGGAUUUCAUCCAAAAAAGCAAAAGUAGAGUUUCCCCAAAAGCUGUAAAUAUGAAUUUAACAGCCUGUUCCACGAUCUUGAAAGAACAUGCUCGCAUAACUUUUACGACAAACAGCUGAUUUCCGUUCCACUAAAAUCCAUCAGAACGAAAAAUUUUACGAAAAUCAAAGCGAACGAAAAGGUAAGCAUUUCUGUGCAAUUUUGCGUUCCACUAUCUUUUUUCUUUCGUACGCAUGCGAACACAAAUGUCAAAAUCAGUCACUUGUGUGUUUGCUGUCGUAUGACUACAAUUCAGGAAAUUAUUUCAAAAUAAAUAUUGCUUGAUUAAAAAUGGAAACAAAAAGUUCCAACACGAAAAAAUCCUCAACUGCACAUCAACGGGCACUAAUUGAAUAUAUGGAGGAGAAUCCUGAGUUCGCCAGAGGAGUGCCAAUUUUUGGAAGCAGAAGGCAAUCCCUUGAAGACCAUUGGAAAAAAUU
This is a long non-coding RNA of Musca domestica (house fly), 615 nucleotides long. RefSeq lists it as uncharacterized. The transcript is spliced from 3 exons. Lineage: Eukaryota; Metazoa; Arthropoda; Insecta; Diptera; Muscidae. The record is from RefSeq and is a predicted model, not a curated record.